RNAcentral lists this ribosomal RNA (509 nucleotides) under uncultured bacterium. Its description in RNAcentral is "bacterial SSU rRNA". It matches the Rfam family "Bacterial small subunit ribosomal RNA", at positions 17 to 518 of the family's 1533-position model. The record is from RNAcentral.
UUCUGGCUCAGGAUGAACGCUAGCUACAGGCUUAACACAUGCAAGUCGAGGGGCAGCAUUGGAGUAGCAAUACUUCAGAUGGCGACCGGCGCACGGGUGAGUAACACGUAUCCAACCUGCCGCUUACUCGGGGAUAGCCUUUCGAAAGAAAGAUUAAUACCCGAUGGUAUAAAGAGUUCGCAUGUUCUCUUUAUUAAAGAAUUUCGGUAAGCGAUGGGGAUGCGUUCCAUUAGAUAGUUGGCGGGGUAACGGCCCACCAAGUCUACGAUGGAUAGGGGUUCUGAGAGGAAGGUCCCCCACAUUGGAACUGAGACACGGUCCAAACUCCUACGGGAGGCAGCAGUGAGGAAUAUUGGUCAAUGGACGAGAGUCUGAACCAGCCAAGUAGCGUGAAGGAUGACUGCCCUAUGGGUUGUAAACUUCUUUUAUAAGGGAAUAAAGUGAGGGACGUGUCCCUUUUUGUAUGUACCUUAUGAAUAAGGAUCGGCUAACUCCGUGCCAGCAGCUGC